GGAGUUAGCCGGUGCUUCUUCUGUGAGUGAUGUCCUUCCUGCCGGCUAUUAACCCGCAGGCCUUCUUCCUCACUGAAAGUGCUUUACAACCCGAAGGCCUUCUUCACACACGCGGCAUGGCUGGAUCAGGGUUGCCCCCAUUGUCCAAUAUUCCCCACUGCUGCCUCCCGUAGGAGUCUGGGCCGUGUCUCAGUCCCAGUGUGGCUGAUCAUCCUCUCAGACCAGCUACGGAUCGUCGCCUUGGUGAGCCGUUACCUCACCAACCAGCUAAUCCGACAUAGGCUCAUCCGAUAGCGCGAGGCCCGAAGGUCCCCCGCUUUCCCCCGUAGGGCGUAUGCGGUAUUAGCCUGGGUUUCCCCAGGUUAUCCCCCACUACCGGGCAGAUUCCUAUGCAUUACUCACCCGUCCGCCGCUCGCCACCAGGGAGCAAGCUCCCCGUGCUGCCGCUCGACUUGCAUGUGUUAGGCCUGCCGCCACGCGUCAUCUGAACCAAGAUACAAUUACUGA
This 507-nucleotide ribosomal RNA is filed under the name uncultured bacterium. RNAcentral's name for it is "partial 16S ribosomal RNA". The record is from RNAcentral.